RNAcentral lists this ribosomal RNA (337 nucleotides) under Muribaculaceae bacterium Isolate-002 (NCI). RNAcentral describes it as "bacterial SSU rRNA". It matches the Rfam family "Bacterial small subunit ribosomal RNA", at positions 1 to 326 of the family's 1533-position model. The record is from RNAcentral. Lineage: Bacteria; Pseudomonadati; Bacteroidota; Bacteroidia; Bacteroidales; Muribaculaceae.
AACAACGAAGAGUUUGAUCCUGGCUCAGGAUGAACGCUAGCGACAGGCUUAACACAUGCAAGUCGAGGGGCAGCGGGGUUGAAGCUUGCUUCAAUCGCCGGCGACCGGCGCACGGGUGAGUAACACGUAUGCAACCUGCCCGUCACAGGGGAAUAACCGGAAGAAAUUCCGACUAAUUCCGCGUAACACCAUUCCGGGGCAUCCCGGGGCGGUCAAAGGAGCAAUCCGGUGGCGGAUGGGCAUGCGGCGCAUUAGCUAGUCGGCGGGGUAACGGCCCACCGAGGCGACGAUGCGUAGGGGUUCUGAGAGGAAGGUCCCCCACACUGGUACUGAGACA